This 497-nucleotide ribosomal RNA is filed under the name uncultured bacterium. RNAcentral's name for it is "partial 16S ribosomal RNA". It matches the Rfam family "Bacterial small subunit ribosomal RNA", at positions 28 to 507 of the family's 1533-position model. The record is from RNAcentral.
GACGAACGCUGGCGGCGUGCCUAAUACAUGCAAGUAGAACGCUGAAGAGAGGAGCUUGCUCUUCUUGGAUGAGUUGCGAACGGGUGAGUAACGCGUAGGUAACCUGCCUUGUAGCGGGGGAUAACUAUUGGAAACGAUAGCUAAUACCGCAUAACAAUGGAUGACACAUGUCAUUUAUUUUAAAGGGGCAAUUGCUCCACUACAAGAUGGACCUGCGUUGUAUUAGCUAGUAGGUGAGGUAAUGGCUCACCUAGGCGACGAUACAUAGCCGACCUGAGAGGGUGAUCGGCCACACUGGGACUGAGACACGGCCCAGACUCCUACGGGAGGCAGCAGUAGGGAAUCUUCGGCAAUGGGGGCAACCCUGACCGAGCAACGCCGCGGGAGUGAAGAAGGUUUUCGGAUCGUAAAGCUCUGUUGUAAGUCAAGAACGGGUGUGAGAGUGGAAAGUUCACACUGUGACGGUAGCUUACCAGAAAGGGACGGCUAACUACGUG